This 468-nucleotide ribosomal RNA is filed under the name uncultured bacterium. RNAcentral describes it as "partial 16S ribosomal RNA". It matches the Rfam family "Bacterial small subunit ribosomal RNA", at positions 28 to 507 of the family's 1533-position model. The record is from RNAcentral.
GACGAACGCUGGCGGCGUGCUUAACACAUGCAAGUCGAACGGAAACGCCGUGCUUGUGUUGUGUGCUAGUGUGGCAAACGUGAGUGACACGCGUGAAUCAUGUGCCCGACACUCGGCUAUGAGUUGCCGAAAGCGCCCCUAAUACCUUAUCUGCUCUCCUCCUACGGUGUGGGGCUGGGAAGGUUUUUCCGGUUGGGGAUGGGCUCCCGGCUCAUCAGCUUGUUGGUGGGGUAGUGGCUCACCAAGGCGUUGACGGGUAGCCGGCCUGGGAGGGUGACCGGCCACACUGGGACUGAGGCACGGCCCAGACUCCUACGGGAGGCAGCAGUGGGGAAUAUUGCACAAUGGGCGGAAGCCUGAUGCAGCAACGCCGCGUGCGGGAUGACGGCCUUCGGGUUGUAAACCUCUUUGGGCAGGGAAGAAGCGAGAGUGACGGUACCGGGAAAAAAAGCGCCGGCUAACUACGUG